Molecule: ribosomal RNA, 422 nt
Filed under: uncultured bacterium
Lineage: Bacteria
Description: bacterial SSU rRNA
Rfam family: Bacterial small subunit ribosomal RNA
Source: RNAcentral
UGAGGAAUAUUGGACAAUGGGGGAAACCCUGAUCCAGCGACGCCGCGUGUAUGAUGAAGGGGCUUUGCCCUGUAAAGUACUGUCGGAGGGGAAGAAAAGCCGGGUUGCCCGGCUGGGACUGUACCCUCAAAGGAAGGAUCGGCUAACUACGUGCCAGCAGCCGCGGUAAUACGUAGGAUCCAAGCGUUGUCCGGAAUUACUGGGUAUAAAGGGUGCGCAGGCGGGUCUGUGCGUCAGAGGUUAAAUAUCACGGCUCAACCGUGAAAAUGCCUUUGAUACGGCAGAUCUUGAGUACGAGAGAGGAUGGUAGAAUUCUUGGUGUAGCGGUGAAAUGCGUAGAUAUCAAGAGGAAUACCAGUGGCGAAGGCGGCCAUCUGGCUCGUUACUGACGCUCAUGCACGAAAGCGUGGGGAGCAAACAGG